This 180-nucleotide ribosomal RNA is filed under the name Aphidius transcaspicus. Its description in RNAcentral is "partial 28S ribosomal RNA". Lineage: Eukaryota; Metazoa; Arthropoda; Insecta; Hymenoptera; Braconidae. The record is from RNAcentral.
AAUAUAGAGGACAGACCAGACUGUGUAGCCAUUAAUUUUAUUUUUAUAUAUAUAUUAUUUGUAUGUUAUUGUUAUUUAUUAUUAGUUUUGUUGUAUUUAAUGAUUUUUAAGAUUUUUAUUUUUUUUUUUCAUUUUUAAAAUUAUUAAUAAUAAUAUUAACGACCUCAGAGUAGGUGAGAC